AACUAAUUUGACGCCACACAAUUCACAUAUACAUAAUUCAACACACAGUAUUCAAAUUUGCCAAUGGCAUGAGACAUAAACAUUGAGGUUCACAUCCAAGUAUACUUAUAUAUGACUUCAACCUAUCUAGGUACACAUAUAUGAGUCCAAAUCCGACCAUACAUCAUAAAAGCAACACAAAAGUGACGCUCAUCAUAUACAGGUUCACAUAUAUACUCCAAGUCUAUACAUACAUGCCAUGAGUAGCACAAGUGACUUUAGAAUCACACACAUGAGUGCAAGUCCACGCAACAUAACAUGAGCAGCACCAAGAACAUGUGUUGUCCGUAUUUCCAACUCCAGCGUUAGACUAUUUUGGCGUUUGGGACCAGCUACACAAAACAGCAGGCAGGACUAAAAAUGACAUGGCCAUGUGAGAGAUUACAACCAAGUAUAGGCACUGCAAAUAGCAAUAAGAAUAAAAUCAUAUAAGUAAUUAACUUUGAAGAAUAAAUAGAAUAAUAAGAGGUCUGGUGUUAGGAAUUAAGAAGCAACCGAUGCAACAAACGAGGAACGAUUAAUAAUGGGAUUGGUUAAAUCACCGUUAUGAUUUGAUUCUGGACAAUGCAUUGGUUAGUGCGCACACACAAAAUGAAUCUAGCCAAGUAUCACAUUCAAAACCAUGCUACGUUAUACCGUUGUAAAAACAGUAAGCCCUGAGGAUGACAAAUGACAAGGACAGGCCUCUAGAGAAACUUAGUUUUCAAUAUUAAAGCUAUAACUAAACAUUUGCUAUGGCGAAUUGAAACAAAUAUGCAUGAUUGGGUUUGAAGCCUGCAAGGGUAGGUUUUACUCAAUUUCUUAAAGCCACGAAUUGCUGGUACAAAUUAUGUUCGAAUGCUAGAUAUCUAAAUACAGUACAGGGAAUGAACUGUUCCAGAAAUUGAAUAUGUCAGGAGUAGUGCUAAGGGAAGGAGGCAGAUAUUUACCACUUUCCAGGGUUCAUCACUGUUGGAGUGCCA
This 1001-nucleotide long non-coding RNA is filed under the name Triticum aestivum (bread wheat). RNAcentral's name for it is "long non-coding RNA (TAES_LNC014078)". Lineage: Eukaryota; Viridiplantae; Streptophyta; Magnoliopsida; Poales; Poaceae. The record is from RNAcentral.